RNAcentral lists this ribosomal RNA (459 nucleotides) under uncultured bacterium. RNAcentral's name for it is "partial 16S ribosomal RNA". It matches the Rfam family "Bacterial small subunit ribosomal RNA", at positions 338 to 795 of the family's 1533-position model. The record is from RNAcentral.
CCUACGGGUGGCAGCAGUGAGGAAUAUUGGUCAAUGGGCGGGAGCCUGAACCAGCCAAGCCGCGUGAAGGAAGAAGGCGCCAAGCGUCGUAAACUUCUUUCGUCGGGGAACAAAGGGCGCCACGUGUGGCGUUGUGAGUGUACCCGAAGAAAAAGCAUCGGCAAACUCCGUGCCAGCAGCCGCGGUAAUACGGAGGAUGCGAGCGUUAUCCGGAUGUAUUGGGGUAAAAGGGUGCGCAGGCGGUCCGGAAAGUCAGCGGUAAAAGCCCGGGGCUCAACCCCGGCGAGCCGUUGAAACUGUCGGACUAGAGACGGCGAGAGGUACGCGGAAUGCGCGGUGUAGCGGUGAAAUGCGUAGAUAUCGCGCAGAACUCCGAUGGCGAAGGCAGCGUACCGGCGCCGGACUGACGCUGAGGCACGAAAGCGUGGGGAUCGAACAGGAUUAGAUACCCCUGUAGUC